GCAAAACACAACAAAGAAAGGAUUAUCAGUCUGUUCUAGAAGGAAUGUACCAUGGGCGGCCAAUGUCAGCACUACGCAUGGGGUCAAUACUAAGAACCAAGCAAACCUCUUGGCACCACUUUAUGCCAACCCAUAUCAAACACAACCCAGUACCAUCUUAGUACCAACAGAUGCCAAGCGAAAAAGAUUCAAGAAAUAUUG
This 201-nucleotide long non-coding RNA is filed under the name Phoenix dactylifera (date palm). Its description in RNAcentral is "long non-coding RNA (PDAC_LNC005600)". Lineage: Eukaryota; Viridiplantae; Streptophyta; Magnoliopsida; Arecales; Arecaceae. The record is from RNAcentral.